AUACGUAGGGGGCGAGCGUUGUCCGGAUUUACUGGGCGUAAAGGGUGAGUUAGGCGGUUGUAUAUGUCAGGUGUAAAAGGCACAGGCUUAACUUGUGUUAGCACUUGAAACUGUACGACUUGAGUGCAGGAGAGGUAAGCGGAAUUCCUAGUGUAGCGGUGAAAUGCGUAGAUAUUAGGAGGAACACCAGUGGCGAAGGCGGCUUACUGGACUGUAACUGACGCUGAGUCACGAAAGCGUGGGUAGC
Molecule: ribosomal RNA, 247 nt
Filed under: uncultured bacterium
Lineage: Bacteria
Description: partial 16S ribosomal RNA
Rfam family: Bacterial small subunit ribosomal RNA
Source: RNAcentral